UGUGGCAGAACAGUGCAAUAAAUUUAAGAUUUAUAUAUAAAGUUUACCUUUCCUUAGA
This 58-nucleotide transfer RNA is filed under the name Dilophotes sp. AN LB-2014. Its description in RNAcentral is "tRNA-Leu". Lineage: Eukaryota; Metazoa; Arthropoda; Insecta; Coleoptera; Lycidae. The record is from RNAcentral.